RNAcentral lists this small nuclear RNA (107 nucleotides) under Microcebus murinus (gray mouse lemur). Lineage: Eukaryota; Metazoa; Chordata; Mammalia; Primates; Cheirogaleidae. The record is from RNAcentral.
GUGCUCACUUUGGCAGCACAUAUACUAAAAUUGUAACAAUACAGAGAAGAUUAGCACAGUCCCCACACAAGGAUGACACAGAAAUUAGUGAAGCAUUCCAUAAUUUU